RNAcentral lists this long non-coding RNA (1507 nucleotides) under Camarhynchus parvulus. Its description in RNAcentral is "lncRNA (ENSCPVG00000017317.1)". Lineage: Eukaryota; Metazoa; Chordata; Aves; Passeriformes; Thraupidae. The record is from RNAcentral.
UGUUGCCUCUUUGUAGCAGAGCUGCAGCUCAGGUGCAGGGCAGCAAACUACAGCCUCAGGAUCUCCAGCUGUUACUGCCAACAGCUUUUUCCUACAACACAAUCCCACUGCACAGCCAGGAAAGCAUCACACCCGGGCCUGGUGAAGUAUUGCAGCAAAGCCUCAGUUACAGCAGGUGAAAUCUAUCUCUGCAGAGCUUUUUCACUCCGUUACAUCAUUUUGCACAGCAUCCCAGAAGGGCAGAUUUGUAUUCACAGAUGCUGCACUUCAACAUACGCUGCUUUCAGUAGUGCUGACUCUGAGCAUUUCACACCACGACUCCAUUUACACCCAGCUCCUUGGGUUCCUCCGGGGCGAACGGGCCGCGCUGCUCGGCCCCGCCGCGACCCCCGGCUCUGCGGGCGUGGGCGCCUCUGCUGCCCGGAGCGGUGCGGGCCGCGUCCAAACGGCGGCCGCGGGGACUGCGAGAGGUUCGUAGAGAAUGCUCGGCCCGAGCAGGAAGGGAGAACAGAAAAGGAACGACGGAAAAGGAAGGAAGGACGGAAAGGGAAGGAAGGAAGUUUGAGGGAAACAAAUUGUUGACUUACGAGUGUAGAGGCCUAAGGAUCUGAGCUGAGAAGCAGAUUCAGGAUGGAAAGAAUCUGAGCUGAGAAACUCCAGGAUGGAAACAGAGAGCUUGAUAAGGGUAUUUCGAGCUUGAUGAAGGUAUUUAUACAGUCGUGAGAAACCAAAGUAACAGAGGGACCAAAGCAAGGGAGAGGAGGUGACGUGCCCGAGAAGGCACUUCUGGAGGGUUUGUCCCAGCUCUGAGGACUCCAAGGUACAAGACAGCCCAAAAUUGCUUGGUUUUUUACACAGUGGAGAAUGGGUGAAUCCUAAACCCAAGGUCUUCCUCUAAGGAGGUGAGUUUCAUGAGGGAACAGUGAAGGAACAAAGAGAAGAGCCCAAGGAUAUUGUUAGUGGCCUGUCUGCUGCCAGGCAGCCUGAGCCUGCACAGCUCUGGUGGGAAGGUUGGAAGGUGCAAACUGGGAAGUGUCCAGCAGGACAAAAACAUUUAUACAGAGUCUUCUUCCUGCUUUCAGCACCAUGCAGGCUUGGCAAAACCCACAGCAAAAUGGUUAUCCAGAAGCCCACCUGGAAUCACCAAACGUGCUGUUGUAUCACACCAGAAAAUUUCAAGUUGAGAUGAAAAUGUAGCACGUAACGUGACAGUGCUGAUGGCAUGAGGAGCACACAAAGCAGUUCUACCUGCAGUGAAAAUCUCCAAGAAAGCAGCUCUCUCGUUUUCAGCCUGUCAGCAAAGCAUCAGGGUUGGGCACAGCUUCUACAUCCAGCAAAAAUGUUCAUGUCAGUGUAGUAACUGAUUAGAAAGUUACCAGGGCCCCAAGGACACGAACCGUGUCCUCCAGAAGCUGAUUAAAACAAGGAUGAGUUUGUGAAAGUCGGUUAUGGGAGCCGUGUCGGACUACAGCUCCCGGCAUGCCAUGCGGCCGGACUACAGCUCCCA